Xyrichtys novacula (pearly razorfish) is the source of this 2192-nucleotide non-coding RNA. The record is from the annotation of a GenBank genome assembly. NCBI's taxonomy places the organism in Eukaryota, Metazoa, Chordata, Actinopteri, Labriformes, Labridae.
CCGGGUGCCACCGCGCAUAACUUGGAGUUCUCAUCACAGACCUGAGCCCGCUGGCAUCCGCUCAGACAUCUGUGCCGUGUGAUAAGAGCGCAUAUCAUGGGAGGAAGACAUCAGAUCGUGUUUGAAUUGUGGCCACCAGACGGAUACACAAAGGGGAGCGAGAACUGCCUAAACAGCACAGUGGUCACCUUUUCCACAUGUGCGCUGUGCUGCUGCUACUCCUGCUGCUGCUGCUGCACUUUUACUUCUUUUCUAAAGGGGAUUACUUCUGCUGUGCUGCAGGAUCGAGUUCAGCAUUGCAAAUGCAGGUUAGACUCAAUUUCAUGAAGUGUCCCACAGCAUUGUUCCAGUUUCACCCUCACAGGUAGUUUAACAAUAGUUGAAAGAAUCCAUACUGAGUGGGCAGAACUGCAAUUUUUCUCAAUAACAGAGGGUCCUCACUUUGUAGCAGAGGUGGGGGCUUUACAACUCGAGACUCGAGACUCAACUUGGACUUGAGUCCCGUUUUUGACUUGUUUGAUCAAAUCAAGAAAUGACUUGGACUCGCUUGGGACUUGAUUGCUAAAGACUUGAGACUUGACUUGACUUCCGCCCAGUGACUUGAAAAGUCAAGUCAAGUCUUUUCAAGUCACUUAAGACCUUACAGCAAGCCCAAAAAAAGUGUCGCAUCAACUAACAGUCAGGAAUUACGGCUGUUGGUAACACCGUGUUGUGUUGCCAAGUCUGCUUAUUUCCCGCAAAAAAAAUUCACUUGUUUUUGGCUUGUUUCUGGAGGUCUGUUUCCUUAUUUCUCUCACGAAACUUGGCAACACUGUCUCAAACUCUAGCCUCCCUCAUAACGACAACACCAGGAGGACUGAACAUAAAUCGCUCGCUAGUAUUGUCCGCCUGUUUCCACGCGUUGCCUCGUGUCUCUCUUUUGUUUUGGAACAGUGAAUUAGAGUAUCAGUUUAAUGUUUAAUUGUAUUUGAGUCUUCCUUAUUUUUGUGCACAUUGUCCAAGUUUCCAAUUAUUGAAGUUUAUCUGAUUAUUUUUUGUAUGACAUGUAAAAUAGUUUGGUUAAAGCUGCACUAUGUAACUUAACACAAACAAGAACCCUUGUUUAAUAAUAAAUGCAAAUAGUGAAAAAUGCUCAUGAUUUAUGUAAAUCUUUACAGAAUUCCUAGGACUUGGUUGGGACUCGAAACAAAAAGUUCAGGGCUUGGACAUGACUUGGGACGUGUCUGUGUUGACUUGGACUUGCCUCGGACUUGAGAGCAAAGACUUGAGACUCGACUUGGACUUGCAACAUAGGGACUUUCCCCCACCUCUGCUUUGUAACCAUAAAGAUGCCACGUGUUUCUUUUUAAACCCCUAAUUUUGGCCUGAAGUUUAGAAUACUGGAUGUGAAUAUAUUCUUAUUAUUAUUAUUUCAAACCUGAGUUGAUCAUUUUCAUACAAAAAAGGCAGAUAUUUGUUGUUUCUACACUUAAGUGUUAAUCUUACUUCCAUUUACACUGAAUAUAAUUAAGAAGGCAUUUGUGUCCAUAACUCUGCUAAUAAAACUUGACUGAGAUACUGGAAAACAGACGAUUUGUCCCAAUUCUUCUGUUUUUUUUUCAGACAGCUUUAAUCGCCAUUAAAAGAGCGCAGGCUUGAGGCGCCAUCAAAAUCAAUCCCACUUUCAAAUCAAAAGCUGUACAUGCGCAGCUUAAAUUUACAGCUUGACCAGUUUCUGCAAAUCAUUACAUUUUUCUUAGUGAGCAAGCAUUUUUCUUUGGCUGAAAAAAAAAAAACGUUUUCAUUCAGAUGAAUUAUGUUUCAAUGCAACAAGUGAGAUUAAAUGAGAUACCUCAUUCUGUCUGUGAAUCUAUAUUCCUCUCGGUUUUGUGAGCAGAGCGCUCAUUUUAUCGAGCCUUAUCCUGCUAAUGUAAAGAGUUGGUGAGGCGUAAGAAUAAACUACUCAUUCUUCCACAUCAUGUCCAUCACGAUAGUUUUUUUCCUGCUCAUUUCUCAAAGAGCUAAUUGACAAAAAGUGAUAUCUUAAGCUUUGUUUACUGCUCAGCUAUGAGUAUAAUGCUUAUGAGCUAGCUAGAUAAUGAUUACUGCUCCUGCGCAUAUCAAGUAGGUGAUUCAUUUCCCCCAGAAUGAAAUGUGUGUCUAUCCAGGCAGCAUCACUGACUCUCAUUACUGUUAAAGGUGCUGAUACGGAU